GCGAGGGUGGUGCUCUGUGCCUCUGCCUCUCCUGAGACGUCCUUGCCUUCCUCUUGGCGUUGGCUGGUCUCCGAGCUCCCGGGACAGCGUCCAGGAGGCGUGGCCGCUGCCUGAGGACCAGUCCUCGAUGUGCCCUCUGACGCUGGCACGAGCGUGUUCUGGACCCGUGCCGUGCCCCCAGGCAGCUGGGGAGUUGUCUGCCUUGUAGUGCGGCGGGCCACCAGGAGAAUCUGACCCAGUGUCCUGGAUGGGCCAGUUCCCAGUCGUGCGCUCGUGGCCCAGACCAGACCCGGGCUGGUGUGUGGAGCCAGCCACGCGGGCCCGUCUGUCCUGCGUGCCCUGAGUGGGCGCAGAUGAGAGAGGGCGCGGUUGCUCCGUCCGCUUUUCUCCCCUCUCGCCCCCAUGCGGGGAGCCGUGCAGCGGGGCCUGGCUGGACUGAGCCCGUGCCGGACACGGUGCUCCGUUGCCGUCCUGGAGGGCCCAGAGGAUUGCUCGAGACGCCGAGCCCGGCACCCGGGAACCUGUUCCGGA
This 531-nucleotide long non-coding RNA is filed under the name Oryctolagus cuniculus (rabbit). RNAcentral's name for it is "lncRNA (ENSOCUG00000034920.1)". Lineage: Eukaryota; Metazoa; Chordata; Mammalia; Lagomorpha; Leporidae. The record is from RNAcentral.